UACCUUUGAACUUCCGGUUUAUUUGUAAGAUAUGAACAAGCAACUGGCCAAGAAAUUGAGCAAAAAUAUAGCUGAGAAUACCCGAGACCCGAGUCUUUGUAAUGUUUCUAAACUUGAAUCAAUGUAUUAAUAAAUCGUUCUGUGUAUGCAAUGUAAGUAUCAUUUAAUAAUGAGUAGCGUAAAGAUGUAAACGCACUUUUUGCGGCUUAUUACAGUAAAAGCAAAGUAUUGUAUAUAUUGUUUGUCACGUUAAAUUCGCUAAACUUCUGUGUGAAUGUGAUAGACUACCUGGCGUUCCCUCGAAACGUCGAAGUUUUGUCUAUUUAUUUUCAGGUAGGCUAUCACAUUCACACCAAGAUUUACACAGAUGUUUUAUCGAAGAUUCUACCAGCGAUCAAGCGUUCGAGAUAAAUUCGCUAAUAUUGCAUAAAAACACGAUGUAGUUUAUAUUAUAUCUAUUUCACUUUAUAGAAUGUUUAUCUACAGCUGCACCCAAGACGAAAUACAUUAAUCCGUGUUCGUGUUGUCAGCAAGUAGUUGAAUAGUUUUUUCCACCGGCACAUAAUUUUGUGAACAAAGACGAGACAUAGGCCUAUUUUAAAAACGAUGUUGACAAUAUUAUGUUGACAACAUUAUGUUGACAACAACAUACUGUACAGUAUUAAUGUUGUCUUUUUAUAAAUUAUAGUUGUACAUUUGCCUUUUUAUGUCAAUUACAGUAAACUUUAUUUCAAUUUAAUAUCGUGUGAUUUCACCACAUACUUGAAUCAGGU
This is a non-coding RNA of Paramuricea clavata, 773 nucleotides long. Lineage: Eukaryota; Metazoa; Cnidaria; Anthozoa; Malacalcyonacea; Plexauridae. The record is from the annotation of a GenBank genome assembly.